UAUUAAAUCAUCUGUAUCUUAGUCUAAUCAUGAUCUGAUAAAACUAUCCUGAUUGGAUCGAUCUGGAUGUUGGAUGCUACCAUUUUUAUCCACCUUGUAAGAGUGUCAGAACUUAGGAUUUUUAUUAGUUAUGGUUAAGACUUAUAAAAUAAUAUAUUUUUAAUAAAAAUUUUGAAAGAUGCUCUCAAAAUUGACUAAAUCUAUUCA
This 207-nucleotide long non-coding RNA is filed under the name Elaeis guineensis (African oil palm). RNAcentral describes it as "long non-coding RNA (EGUI_LNC035686)". The record is from RNAcentral. Lineage: Eukaryota; Viridiplantae; Streptophyta; Magnoliopsida; Arecales; Arecaceae.